GCAGCUGGCAGAACCCGGGCACAGCAACAGACACAAGAUGGGCUCUAAGUACCCACGGUCCCUCCGCUGCUGCCUGCCCCUGUGGGCCUUGGAGCUACAGACAGCUUUUAGUCUCCUCUUCUGUUUUUUCAUCCCCCACGACACAGCCCAGGUGGAUCACAGGUUCAUGGCGAGCUAUCAAGUCCUCCGGAAUUUGACCCUCAUGGCAGCCUUGGGCUUCGGCUUCCUGUCCUCGUCCUUUCGGAGACACAGCUGGAGCAGUGUGGCCUUCAACCUCUUCAUGUUGGCCCUCGGGGUGCAGGGAACAAUCUUGCUGGACCAUUUCCUGGGCCAGGUCCUCCAAUGGAACAAGAUCAACAAUCUGUCCAGCAUCCAGAUAGCUACCAUGAGCACCUUACCUGUGCUGAUCUCAGCGGGCGCUGUCCUGGGGAAGGUCAACCUGGUGCAGCUGACCGUGAUGGUGCUGAUGGAGGCAAUGGCCUUUGGUGCCAUCAGAUUUGCCGACGAGAAGGUCUUCAAAAUGACAGAACACAUCAUCAUGAUGCACGGGCACGUGUUUGGGGCCUAUUUUGGGCUAACUGUGGCUUGGUGGCUUUCCAGAUCUCUGCCCAGGAGAGUGGGUGAGAACGCCCAGACAGAGAAGGUUCAAAUGGCUACGAGCUCCAGUCUGUUUGCCAUGCUGGGCACCCUCUUCUUGUGGAUAUUCUGGCCAGCUAUCAACUCUGCUCUCCUGGAAGGGACAAAGAAAAGGAAUGCUGUGUUCAACACCUACUACGCCCUGGCAGUGAGCGCAGUGACAGCCACCUCCAUGUCAGCCCUGAGUCACCCUCAAGGGAAGAUCAACAUGGUUCACAUCCACAAUGCAGUGCUGGCAGGGGGCGUGGCCGUGGGCGCCCCGGGUUGCCUGAUUUCUUCACCUUGGAUUUCCAUGGUGCUGGGCCUCAUAGCUGGGUUGAUCUCCAUCUGGGGAGCCAAGUGUCCACGGGUAAGGAGCUGAAAAGUCACCACUCUCUGCUUUGCCUCAAUCCAGUGGUAUCUAGGUCACUCGGUGGUUCGCGGAAACAUGCAGCAGGCGUGUUUGAACCACAUGCUGCAGAACUCCAGUGGGAUCCACUACACCUUCGGCUUGCCGGGUCUGCUGGGAGCACUUACCUACUACUGCCUUCAGAUAGUGACAGAGCCCAAGUCCUCGGAUCUCUGGAUCAUCACCCAGACGGUCACUCACAUUGGGGCUCUCAGCUUCGCUGUGGCGAUGGGUAUGGUGACUGGACUCCUCACAGGUUGUCUCCUAAGUGUCAGAGUGUGGAGGGCUCCCCGUGCGGCCAAGUAUUUUGAUGAUCAGACUUUCUGGGAGUUCCCACACUUGGCGGUUGGAUUUUAACCGAAAUCAUCUGAGAGCGAAGCCGGGUGAGAAGAGAGAUGCCCUUUCUUUGUGUCCCUUUUGUCUGCAUCCUGUGUUACAAGAAAGGCUUCCGAGUGGUCAUCUUAGUUUAAAUAGUAUGUUUGGUUUCAUGACAGAGACUAUUAAUACUUUGGGAUGAAUACACCUCAUUAAAGUUCUGGUCCAAUUCUA
This is an RNA transcript of Mus musculus (house mouse), 1573 nucleotides long. It is a transcript of the gene named Rh blood group, D antigen, with no coding region annotated. The transcript is spliced from 10 exons. The record is from RefSeq and is marked validated. Lineage: Eukaryota; Metazoa; Chordata; Mammalia; Rodentia; Muridae.